AUUUCCGCUUUGGCAAAAACUGGACAACUGCACCUCACAUCCUGGGGCGGAACCCACAACACCCCAGAGAACUGCAAGGCCCGGCAACUAGUCGCAUUGCCCGGUCAUAAGACUUGUAGGCCUCCAAUAGAGGCAAGUUUCUGUCUCUUCGCUUGAAAGAGCUCUCCUGAGGGUCACUCAUCCUGUACCGGGAAUGGAGCUUUAUUCUAUAGGAACUAAAACCCAUCGCCCUUCUUCAAGGAAAAAGACUGGGUGCUCAGUUCAAUGAACUGUUAAGACAAGAUUGAGUAACUAAGCCAUAGAAACAGGCCUCCAGAGUCCUCUGCCUCCGUCUAGCAGACAGGAGCAGGCGUGGCGAAGAAUGUAAGAAGCAUGGGAGCAUGGGGACACAGACAACACCAGGCCAGAUGUUGUGGGGAGCAGAGGAAGCCUUGAAUGAAGUUCUGAGUGUCUGUGCGCCGUUGGCACGGGCGUGGCCAUGUCGAAAACCAUGAGACCAUAGCCUCAGGGCCAUGAGAACUUUAGAAGCACCAUUAAAUGCCUCCGUGGGUUCCUGAGCACGCCAGAGCUGGAGCCCUCUCAGCUUAUGUCUCUGGAUCUGCCAGGCACGGCUGCCACCCAUGAAGCUGGAUCGCAAAUCUCUUUUUGGCAUCGCCAGUUCCUUAAGAUCGCCUAGUGCAGAGGUGAACAAGCUGUGAUCAACAUGUGUUGUUUAUAAAGUGCCCAUCCCAGGUGUUUUGUUAUAAUGGCACAAGCAGAAUAGACGUGAUCAAUUUUAUCUGGGAAGACUGCAAAUACUAGCUUGAAGCCUUUUCCUUCUUUCUCUAUCUGACAAAGAUAUCAACGAAUGGAGACACAAGGAUAAGGCAUGGUUUUUAAAAAAGUAUUAGGGGAUGGAGAGAUGGUUCAGUGGUUAAGAACACUGGUUGUUCUUCCAGAGGGCCUGAAAGAUUUCCAACACCUACAUGGCAGCUCACGACCACCUAUGACUCUAAUCCUAAGAGUUUCAAUACCCUCUUCUGGCAUUUCCAGACAACUGGGCACAACUUUUAGCCAUGUCUAAGUAAUUCGUUCUCUUUUGCUUGAGAAGCGAGGGCAAGAAGUCUGAUAUUUCAAAAUUACAUUAAAAACCAAGUUUUAGUGUGUCACACUUGGCCCUUGGGUAAUUCGUGUUGUUUGAAGGGAGGAGACAGUUCCCUUCAAACAGAACCACUUAGCUGUGCCAUUGCAGGGCACAUCCCUCCUUCCCCAGUCUUGUGCCAGGCCUCUCCGAGAUUAUUUACUUACUCCGGAAAAUGAAAAAAAUGUCGUGGUCUGUGAACCAUGAGGCUUUAUUCUUAGCUUGUGUAUCGUGUUGGUUUUUCUUCUUCUGCCUUUUUUUUUUCUUUUUAAGGAAAAUCACAAGAAUAUAUAAAAGUUUUUGAUGAAUAGAACCCUACAUUUUUAGGAGAAAAUGGCUGGAACAGUUUGGGGCUUGGGGCCGCCUGUUGCUCUCUGGUAAAAGCUUCCCACAGCCUUGGUUUUAUUCAGCUGCGUGCUUGGUGCCAGGAUUUACAUGGCCGCCGUGGGGGAGACAGCUGGAUUUAGCAUAAGGAGGAAUAACUGCUCUCUCCCUGGAGAGACACAGAAAGGAUAAGCGCAGAAGGUACAGAGACAAUAUUAUCGAGAAUUAUAUUUCUGCUCAGUUCUUUUAUUCACCCUGAAUCCCUGGAUUCUGUUGCAAAUAACAAAAGCGAGAAACUAGUUGGCCUGGAGCCAAGGCCUGGGACUGUGGAGGAGGCUAGUCAGCCCUCACUGGCUGAAGGUUCCGCAUCCUUAAAUCAAUCAAUCAAUCAUAGGUUGAAAGCGUUUUUUAGACAGCAUCUGUACUGAGCAUGUAGGUUUCUUUUCCAUUAUAAUUCUUUAAACAGCAUC
This is a long non-coding RNA of Alexandromys fortis (reed vole), 1914 nucleotides long. RefSeq lists it as uncharacterized. The transcript is spliced from 4 exons. NCBI's taxonomy places the organism in Eukaryota, Metazoa, Chordata, Mammalia, Rodentia, Cricetidae. The record is from RefSeq and is a predicted model, not a curated record.